Macadamia integrifolia is the source of this 1022-nucleotide long non-coding RNA. RefSeq lists it as uncharacterized. The record is from RefSeq and is a predicted model, not a curated record. Lineage: Eukaryota; Viridiplantae; Streptophyta; Magnoliopsida; Proteales; Proteaceae. The transcript is spliced from 5 exons.
UGUUGUACAAGGAGCAUACGAGAAGACUUUGAGGAGUUGUUAUUAUUCAGCCAUGGAUUUAGAUGAUGCUGGUGGAGAAACAUCAUGGUUUCAGGAAAUUUUGGAAACAUAUCCCAUUGAAGACUCUGAAGAUGAAGAAGAAACCCACCAAAAAAAAUUAAAAGAUGAAGAAGAGAGGAAUAACGCAACAACAGAGGAAUAGCCAGACAGUUCGUCUUUCAGGACAACAAUGUUGACGCAAGAGCAGAACUUCUUCUUCUUCUUAGAGGAGGAGGAAGAAGAUGGGGUAGCUGCUUUAGGGGUAUGCAAUUGCUUCAUUACAGUGAAGCUGUUUGGGAUUGCUUCUGCGACUUUUUCAGUAGAGGAUCUCUGUGAUGUGGUCCUGUUCUGUUCUCUUCUCUUCUAUUGUUCCUUCUCUUAUAUAGCCUGAGCUCAACUUUCUCAAGUGACAAUGAUUAUGGUUGUUUUUCUUUUUUUUUUUCUGGCGAUAUGUUACUGGUGUCCACACCAAUCACAAGCAGGUUAGUUGAAUUUGCAUGGAUUUAAUCUAACCUUUUAAUUUGUUCAUAUCACCCCAAAAAGAAAAAGAAAUUCUAACCUUUUAUAUAUUUGUUGUUUUGAUCAUCUUGGUCAAUGAGUGACAAAUGCCAUUUCAUGAAGGCCAGGGCACCCAAUUAGUGGGAGCUUGCAGAAGAUCCAACAAUGUUCUUGAAGAGGUGUUGUUGAGGGCUACUUAGACACCACUUCUUGAUGAGGACGAUGAUGAUGAAGAAGAGAGGAGAUCCAACCAUGUUCUUGAAGAGGCAGAGAUGAGGGCUACUGAAAUAGUACUUAUUCUUGAUGAGGAUGAGGUUAAGUCCUUCUGGAGUUGAAGAGGUGUCGUUGAGGGCCACUGCAACACCAAUUCUUGACGAAGAUGAUGAGGCAGCUUGUCCAUCUCUCGUUGAGGAAACAGGGUGGUUGAGGUACCGUCGAGGGUCAUUGAGACAAUUGUUCUUCAAAACAAGUAGGAAUAACUAUGU